CCCGCACAAGCGGUGGAGUAUGUGGUUUAAUUCGAUGCAACGCGAAAACCUUACCUGCCUUGACAUCCUCGGAACUUGUCAGAGAUGACUUGGUGCCUUCGGGAACCGAGAGACAGGUGCUGCAUGGCUGUCGUCAGCUCGUGUCGUGAGAUGUUGGGUUAAGUCCCGCAACGAGCGCAACCCUUGUCAUUAGUUGCCAUCAUUUGGUUGGGCACUCUAAUGAGACUGCCGGUGACAAACCGGAGGAAGGUGGGGAUGACGUCAAGUCCUCAUGGCCCUUAUGGGUAGGGCUUCACACGUCAUACAAUGGUCGGUACAGAGGGUUGCCAAGCCGCGAGGUGGAGCCAAUCCCAGAAAGCCGAUCGUAGUCCGGAUUGUUCUCUGCAACUCGAGAGCAUGAAGUCGGAAUCGCUAGUAAUCGCGGAUCAGCAUGUCGCGGUGAAUACGUUCCCGGGUCUU
This 459-nucleotide ribosomal RNA is filed under the name uncultured Methylophilaceae bacterium. RNAcentral's name for it is "bacterial SSU rRNA". It matches the Rfam family "Bacterial small subunit ribosomal RNA", at positions 920 to 1382 of the family's 1533-position model. The record is from RNAcentral. Lineage: Bacteria; Pseudomonadati; Pseudomonadota; Betaproteobacteria; Nitrosomonadales; Methylophilaceae.